AUAAUAGGUUGAUGUGUCUGAAUAGUUCUUAUCGACAUAGUCUUUUGGCACCUCGACAUCAACUCAUCACACCCUGGGGUUGAAGAAGGUCCCAAGGGUUAAGUCAUUCUCCAAUUCGAGUAGUACGUGAGCUGGGUUUAGAACGUCGUGACACAGUUC
RNAcentral lists this non-coding RNA (159 nucleotides) under Amborella trichopoda. Its description in RNAcentral is "Bacterial large subunit ribosomal RNA". It matches the Rfam family "Bacterial large subunit ribosomal RNA", at positions 2474 to 2632 of the family's 2925-position model. Lineage: Eukaryota; Viridiplantae; Streptophyta; Magnoliopsida; Amborellales; Amborellaceae. The record is from Rfam by way of RNAcentral.